GAUGAAGAACGCAGCGAAAUGCGAUAAGUAAUGUGAAUUGCAGAAUUCAGUGAAUCAUCGAAUCUUUGAACGCACAUUGCGCCCCUUGGUAUUCCGAGGGGCAUGCCUGUUCGAGCGUCAUUAUCACCCCUCAAGCUUUGCUUGGUGUUGGGGCCUGCUGUAAUAGGCAGCCCUUAAAAUCAGUGGCGGUGCUUCAAGGCUCUAAGCGUAGUAAUUCUCCUCGCUAUAGUGUCUAGUGGUUGCCAGCCAGAACCCCCCAAUUUUCAUGAUUGACCUGAUCAGGUAGGGAUACCCGCUGAACUUAAGCAUAUCAAUAAGCGGAGGA
Molecule: unclassified non-coding RNA, 325 nt
Filed under: soil metagenome
Description: partial contains 5.8S ribosomal RNA, internal transcribed spacer 2, and large subunit ribosomal RNA
Rfam family: 5.8S ribosomal RNA (bases 1-120)
Source: RNAcentral